CGAGCACCGGUGGGGUCCCUUGGCCUGGCCUGCACCCCCUUACAAUCCGGGACCCCUGAGGAGAUGUCAGAGAGCUGGUUUCAGCCCAAUCCCUGCAGGCCAGGCCAAGGGACCCCACCGGUGCAUG
This 127-nucleotide microRNA precursor is filed under the name Myotis lucifugus (little brown bat). RNAcentral describes it as "mir-9193 microRNA precursor family". It matches the Rfam family "mir-9193 microRNA precursor family". The record is from Rfam by way of RNAcentral. Lineage: Eukaryota; Metazoa; Chordata; Mammalia; Chiroptera; Vespertilionidae.